CCAGGGUAAGUCGGGACCUAAGGCGAGGCCGACAGGCGUAGUCGAUGGAUAACCGGUUGAUAUUCCGGUACCCGCUGUGAAGCGUCAAACAUCGAGCAUCGUGAUGCUAAGGCCGUGAAGCCGCCCUGAUCUCUUCGGAGUUGAGGGGAGUGGUGGAGCCGCCGGACCAAGCGGUUAGUAGGUGAGUGAUGGGGUGACGCAGGAAGGUAGUCCAGCCCGGGCGGUGGUUGUCCCGGGGUAAGGGUGUAGCCCGUCAUCCAGGCAAAUCCGGAUGACAUGUGGGUGAGACCUGAUGCCGAGCCGAUUGUGGUGAAGUGGAUGAUCCUAUGCUGUCGAGAAAAGCCUCUAGCGAGUUUCAUGGCGGCCCGUACCCUAAACCGACUCAGGUGGUCUGGUAGAGAAUACCGAGGCGUUCGGGUGAACUAUGGUUAAGGAACUCGGCAAAAUGCCCCCGUAACUUCGGGAGAAGGGGGGCCACACCCGGUGAAGGAACUUGCUUCCUGAGCUGGGGGUGGCCGCAGAGACCAGCGAGAAGCGACUGUUUACUAAAAACACAGGUCCGUGCGAAGCCGUAAGGCGAUGUAUACGGACUGACGCCUGCCCGGUGCUGGAACGUUAAGGGGACCGGUUAGUCACUCUUCGGGGUGGCGAAGCUGAGAACUUAAGCGCCAGUAAACGGCGGUGGUAACUAUAACCAUCCUAAGGUAGCGAAAUUCCUUGUCGGGUAAGUUCCGACCUGCACGAAUGGCGUAACGACUUCUCGACUGUCUCAACCAUAGGCCCGGUGAAAUUGCACUACGAGUAAAGAUGCUCGUUUCGCGCAGCAGGACGGAAAGACCCCGGGACCUUUACUACAGUUUGAUAUUGGUGUUCGGUUCGGCUUGUGUAGGAUAGCUGGGAGACUUUGAAACGCGGACGCCAGUUCGUGUGGAGUCGUCGUUGAAAUACCAGUCUGGUCGUGCUGGAUGUCUAACCUGGGUCCGUGAUCCGGAUCAGGGACAGUGUCUGAUGGGUAGUUUAACUGGGGCGGUUGCCUCCUAAAGGGUAACGGAGGCGCCCAAAGGUUCCCUCAGCCUGGUUGGCAAUCAGGUGUUGAGUGUAAGUGCACAAGGGAGCUUGACUGUGAGACCGACGGGUCGAGCAGGGACGAAAGUCGGGACUAGUGAUCCGGCGGUGGCUUGUGGAAGCGCCGUCGCUCAACGGAUAAAAGGUACCCCGGGGAUAACAGGCUGAUCUUCCCCAAGAGUCCAUAUCGACGGGAUGGUUUGGCACCUCGAUGUCGGCUCGUCGCAUCCUGGGGCUGGAGUCGGUCCCAAGGGUUGGGCUGUUCGCCCAUUAAAGCGGUACGCGAGCUGGGUUUAGAACGUCGUGAGACAGUUCGGUCCCUAUCCGCUGUGCGCGUAGGAGUCUUGAGAAGGGCUGUCCCUAGUACGAGAGGACCGGGACGGACGAACCUCUGGUGUGCCAGUUGUUCUGCCAAGGGCAUGGCUGGUUGGCUACGUUCGGGAGGGAUAACCGCUGAAAGCAUCUAAGCGGGAAGCCUGCUUCGAGAUGAGGACUCCCACCUCUAUAAGAGGGUAAGGCUCCCAGUAGACGACUGGGUUGAUAGGCCGGAUCUGGAAGCCAGGUGACUGGUGGAGGUGACCGGUACUAAUAGGCCGAGGGCUUGUCCUC
RNAcentral lists this ribosomal RNA (1674 nucleotides) under Streptomyces sp. HGB0020. RNAcentral describes it as "bacterial LSU rRNA". It matches the Rfam family "Bacterial large subunit ribosomal RNA", at positions 1374 to 2925 of the family's 2925-position model. Lineage: Bacteria; Bacillati; Actinomycetota; Actinomycetes; Kitasatosporales; Streptomycetaceae. The record is from RNAcentral.